Long non-coding RNA from Malurus melanocephalus (red-backed fairy wren), 3132 nucleotides. RefSeq lists it as uncharacterized. The record is from RefSeq and is a predicted model, not a curated record. The transcript has 3 exons. Lineage: Eukaryota; Metazoa; Chordata; Aves; Passeriformes; Maluridae.
AACAGGUUACCUAGCCACCAGAAUUUUUUAUUAAUUUAUUGGAAUGCAUUUCCUGUAGUUUUCAUUCACUAUUUAAGAAAAAAUGAAGGGAAAAAAUUCCUAAAGGAAGAACAGGUUUUAAAAUUCUGAUACCUGAAAAGAACAUGAUUUUCAUUACAUUGGGCAUGUUUUAUUGAAUGCAGAAUUAAGGAUACAGUCAGGAUUCAAUAUCUGCUAUGAUGCAUUCAGGUUCUGAUACAAUACUUUGCUAUUGGGCGGUAAUCUCCCUGCUUGUUUAGCUCCUAGUCCAGUUGAAUAAUUAAACUCAUGUAAAUUUGAGAUUGUGCACAGUACCACUGAGAAUAAGGGAGUUUCUUGUCUGCCUAAAGUACAUUUCAUUGUAAGUAGUUUGUUGGUUGAGAACCAAACUUUUAUCUCAAGUCAUUCUGCUCAAAGGUGUCCUUGCUCAGCAAAUCUCUUUAAAAUGUGCUCGGUUUUAAGCCCAAGUCCUGCUCUUAGGAGUGAUUUUGGUAAGAUGUGUGGUCAUGAGGAUGGUCUAAGGAAAAGGUCAAACAGCAGAGAAAUCAGACAGGCUUUUCUUUGCAUUCAUGGUGGCAAAUACACAGAAUUGAGCGAGAGGAAAACAAAACCACGGGGAAAAGGAGAAGUUCAAAUGAGGUAGGUGGACCUGCAUGGGCAUUCUCGCUUCCUUCCUUCCCACAGCUUCCUCUGUUCCUAUAAUCUCAGCACAGAUGUUUCCUUUUUAAUCCCUGGCUCCAGCUGGCAGAGCAUCUCUGCUCUACCGUACUUAGUCGCAAUUACUGCAGACAUUAACUCUGCACAUGCUUCGGAAAUUGACUGCUUUUUCUUCCUUGGAAAUGUUGCUCAUCAUCAGGUUUUUAACAGCCAGAAAUAAAGGCCAUUUGUGUAAUGAUGAAUCCGAUUCCCUUCAAGAUUUGUAAGAGAGAUAAAAGGCACAAGAAGCAGGCUUAAAACAAUUGCUGGCAUGGUGGAAAAUUUGGAUGUUGAAUUUAUAAUACCUUGCUUCUCUAGUACAGAGAGUCUUCAUCAUGUGAUAGAAAAGGAAUGGGAAAGAUGUCAAGCAGAUGCCAUAUUCACCUGCCUGAUGCUACUUUUCCAAAUUAAUCACAAGUGCUUGAUUUAUUUUGAUUAGCAAAGCAGACACUCGGUACUCUAAGCGUGGGCUGUGUCUUCUUGUAGGUGAACUUCCAUUUAUUCAUGGAGUAGGGGUUGAUCAGAGUGUCAAAGCUGCAAAACCCUAAAGCCAGACCCACUCUUUUCCUUGCACCCAGGCACGAGGCUGGGUCAUCCUUUUGUGGUGUGAUGCUGCUGAAGUGCCACCAGAGUCUGAUGUGACCCAGGCCAGAUUUUAGUAGAAAAAAAAAUCUUGGCCUGGGCUUGAACAACACGAAAUCCUCCAGCUGCUGGAUUCAGUGGUCCCAAUUUACCCUGAUUGUCCUGAUUGUGUAUUUUUUUUCUGUAUUCAGCAACUUUCCUUUGGAUGUAAAAGCAAUCUGAGACAGCCACAGUGCCAGGGAAGGUGGGAUGGAUGGACAGAGGGGCAGUGAAGAACCUGGAACCCUCACCCAUCAGCAUUUGCUGAAAUCUCUGGAUGAAUUCCCACUGCUUUCACCCCGUUCCUGUGGAGGAGGAGGAUGGAUGGCACGUCCAGCCUUCAGCUGGCUGCUGAUAUGACACGUACAGCUUCAGACAUUUGUGUGAGCACCCAGAAUAACUGGAUGAAGUUGGCCACAACUGAGGUCAUCUUGCCUAUAAACCACCCAACCACUGCCCUGCAGGGACAGGACUGGGAUGCAGAAGAGCUUCUUCAAGAGGAUGUGACUGUUUUGACUGAACAUUAGAGAGGAAAUUUCCCCAGGAUCUUCAGACACGUGAGCCUCGAGGUACUGUGAGUUCUGUUUCAAGGAGGAGAUGAAGAAAGGGGUGGAGGACAUGUAAGUGAGAAGAUAACACAAAACAAAAACAAAGCACAGAAUAUGACGGUAAGAGUUUUUAUUUUCGCGAGCUUCACGCUAAAUAUCAAGAUCAGUAACUGCCAUUGGAGGGGGAACGUUUGGCCAUCACAAUGCACAGGACUGUGAUGCACAAAGCAACCCUGAUGCAAAUUUACUUAGCAUCAAGGAUCCCUAGCAAAAAAAAAAAAACAAAAAAAAAAAAAAAAAAAAAAAAAAAAAAAAAAAAAAAAAAGGAAGCAAGAAAAAAAACUUUACAAGGCAGCUUUGAUCGGCCCUGGCACUGCGUGUGAAAGUCUAGCUCAGUUCUAAGACUGCCAGGGUAAGUGAAAGAAGAGCCUUUGUAAUUUUUGUCUUACAAUUAUGUCACUCAGCCCCGUCGCCUCCAUUCUCCCCAUGCAAUUUGUAAGGGACGACAAGUCAUUCAAAGCACCUCUGUUUACAGAGAGCCCCGGUAACACAACACCAGGGCCGGGCAGAUUCCGUGAACCGCAGACCCCGCGCUGACAGACGGGAUUGUUUGAUGGGCGCCGUGGGUGAGGCUGGAGGGGAAGAGCGGCAGCAGAACGGGACACGGGUUUUUCUGAGCUCGGAGGUCAUGUCAGCAGCCAGAGCAGCAUUCAGGGUUUUUCUAUUGCGCUGUUAUCUCGGUGCUGGCGAUGAAGUUUUAAUUGGGAAGGGUGAGCGUGAUUCUGCUCUCCUCCCACGCAGCUCUACAGAUGCUGCUGCUUCCAGGGGUAGGAUUUUGGGGUCUGCUCGCUCCCCACCAGCAGAGAGGAGAAAUGAUGAGGUGGGGAUUGCUGCACUGGUGAGGAGUGUCUCCUGCAGAUAGUGCUGAUCUGAUGAGGAAACCAAAAUGAUAUGUCUGGAGGUACAAAUGCCUUGCACACAAUGGAUGUGGCACAGACAGCAGCAUAAGUCUCCCCUCCGCACUGAUAAUACAGCUUAACCCAAUCCAAUCUAUUCCUGUGUCAUGGAAAGUUUUAGGAUUCUCUGCUGGAGACAUCUACUAUCACGUUGGUGAUAAAAUGCAUUUCAUUUCCAUACUGUAAUUAAAAACUCCAGCAAAAAGCAGCCCACUAGAAAACGAGGAAAAACCCCCGUGAUCUAUUGCCUGAAAGCCACUCAAUAGCAAUUAGCAAAUAUCAGUUUUCCUCUU